CCACGCUUGACGGGGCGCCGUUGAUGACGGCUGAGACCAUGCGCUUGCCAGCAUGGAUCCCGUUGAACCUGAACUGGCUAGGACCAGCGUAGGGAUCAAGCGACACGCCGCC
RNAcentral lists this non-coding RNA (112 nucleotides) under Halomonas aestuarii. RNAcentral's name for it is "TPP sequence". It matches the Rfam family "TPP riboswitch aptamer (THI element)". From Rfam's summary of the family: Vitamin B(1) in its active form thiamin pyrophosphate (TPP) is an essential coenzyme that is synthesised by coupling of pyrimidine and thiazole moieties in bacteria. Lineage: Bacteria; Pseudomonadati; Pseudomonadota; Gammaproteobacteria; Oceanospirillales; Halomonadaceae. The record is from RNAcentral.